This is a long non-coding RNA of Canis lupus familiaris (dog), 836 nucleotides long. RefSeq lists it as uncharacterized. NCBI's taxonomy places the organism in Eukaryota, Metazoa, Chordata, Mammalia, Carnivora, Canidae. The transcript is spliced from 5 exons. The record is from RefSeq and is a predicted model, not a curated record.
GUGACCUUAUGAGAAGACACAUGAGAGAGAUAUGAGGAUGCAGCAGGAUUACUUCUGUCUGCAAACAAAGAAGAGGGGCCUCACAACAUAGAAUUUGCAGGCAUCUUGAUAUUGGACUUCCCAGUCUCCGUGAUUGUUGGAUGCCUUAUCCUGUGAAUAAACUGGCAGUGUUGAUCUACAGCUGUAUGCAGACCACAUCUUUCUUCCAAAGCUGCAAGGCGCACAUUUAAACUCAAAUCUCAGAGACUGCAGCACCAAGAUUGCAGUACAAAUUGGUAUGACCAACCAGGCCCAGGAACCAUCGAUCUUCAUUCUUCCUGCCACCCUGGAAACUGAAACCUUUUGUAGCAAGAGCAUUUGAUCUGCUGUCUUGCACAUAAGACUGUACCCAGUACAUUGUUAUGGCUGGAUGGUGCAAAAAUCUGAGAUUUGGAAAGAUGAAAUGACUUGCCCAAAUUCACAAGGAAAGAAGGGCCACCUUGGGGCAGUCCAUACUGUGACAUGAGGACCAGAGGAAGGUAAGAACUUGGCAGCCUAUCAGCUAAUCCUAGCCAGCUCUCUGCCACUUAAAAUGGUGAAAAGAUGAACACAGCAGUUUUGUCAACAUAUCUGCUUGUACAUGAUUGUUUAUGUGUGAAAUGGUGUCUAGAGGGUGCCUUUUGAUCAAAGGAACUUAGGCCACUAGCGGAUAAGGAAGAAACAUCAGGCUGGUAAAAGAAUAGAAGCCAGAAGCUUGGCUGCUUAACUUGUGCAUCAUGGUGCAAUCCUUUCUUUGAGAAGCUCCUGACAAUACAUCCUCCAGACUGCUAUCUGCUCCACCUUUGGAAACCAAAUAU